ACCUGUAUCACGUCUUAAGACUCGCAACGUAGUAUCUGUAGACUAGCUAAACGGUAUCGGGAAUGAUAUUAUCCGAACACAAGAUGAGCGUGUUGAAUGAAGAAAGUCGUCCUUCGCUACGAACAAUCUGGAAACCUAGACUCGCAAGUCUAUAUGUUGAAGUGUUUUCACCAGUUAUGAUAUGUCUGCCGAGGCCCUGCACAUGCUGAUAACACACACGUCAACACAAAGUGCAAGGGUCCAGGUGCGGAGUAAUAUAAGUUAUUUCCAAACAUCUCAGUCACGUUUCAAGACGAAACAUACAGUCACGACCGAAAUAUAAAACAUUCACAAAACAGUUGAUGACAGAGACAUGGAUGCAGUCGUUAUGUUUCUGUGAUAUUCGUAACGUGCAUGUGUAGGUAUUAACCUUUUCUUGACGCAGUACAUGUAAGAGGAACUAACUACACUGUUUGAUGUGAAAACAACAUGUACGUGUUAAGACCCGUUCUCCUUUAAACAACACAUGUAACUUAACGACGCAGUUUCAGCAUCGCAGUCACAUCCAUCAACGCGUCGGAGAUAUCGGACUCUGUGAUAGACCAGCGAGUGCACUACCUACUCCAGCCUGUUCCCUCACGAUCUUGUCCCUGGCGUUGCUUAUUCGCUCCAGCACAACAGCAGGCUGUACUAUAUACCAGUGGCUGUUCGAGGGUACUGCAUGGAUUGCUGUGAGAUGUUCCUGGAAGUACCAUAGCUGGCAGACACAGGAUGUUGUCAUUCAGCGACCCCGUGACUGUAGGGUUCGUUAUCUUCCUGUGUUGUGUGCUGCUGUUAGCAAUAAUCUGUGCACUUAUAGAAUACUGCCACGUCGUGCAUGACAAAUCUAGAUGCCAUGCCUACAACCCAGUGGCUAAAGUGUGACGUCACUCAAUAGGGACAACAGAUCAAGUGACGUCAGUCAGACAGAUACCCAACGUCUGCAUCAGAUCAGACAGUGUGACACUGUGUCCGAGAGCGUCUACCAGGAGUCAAUGACAGAUCAAGUGACGUCAGUCAGACAGAUACUCGAAGUCUGCAACAGACAGACAGUGUGCCAUUGUGUCCGAGAGCGUCUAUUCGGCAUCCAUGGCAGAUCUGAAGGCCGGCCUGCACGUUCAAGACAAUGGAGUGACGUCGCCAGGCAGUUUGUGUUAACGUUUGUCACACUGGCGUUCUAAGUGGACAACAUGUGGUGUGUUGUGCUUUACCUUCUUAAAACUGACUUCACAAGAAAGAAGCCCGUCAAUGUCCGGAUGAUACCGGAUUGGAAGAAGUGAUCUCGUGAUCAAUGGAAUCAAGCCACGUCGUGAUGUGUACACCAGCACAAGGACAAAUUACGGCACACGGCUCAGCCGUACACUUCUCUGAGUUUGAGGCAGACUUUGAGGAUGUGAAAUUCGUACUACUGCCUUGAGGCACAAUGAUUACAUAUGCAAAAUGUGGUUGCAUUUUGGUUGCACUUCUUGCACCUGUAUAUUGAUUGUUUUGUAUAUAUUAAUGAAAACUAAACAAACUCAUGCAUUGUAACAGAUGUUCCUACAGAGAAAAUAAAUCAAUGCAUGCUACGUUUUAUGACUGACUGAAAUGUACAUGACAUAUAUUUUAUA
RNAcentral lists this unclassified non-coding RNA (1628 nucleotides) under Haliotis rufescens (red abalone). Its description in RNAcentral is "uncharacterized LOC124136749, transcript variant X1". The record is from RNAcentral. Lineage: Eukaryota; Metazoa; Mollusca; Gastropoda; Lepetellida; Haliotidae.